This 778-nucleotide ribosomal RNA is filed under the name uncultured bacterium. Its description in RNAcentral is "bacterial SSU rRNA". It matches the Rfam family "Bacterial small subunit ribosomal RNA", at positions 104 to 859 of the family's 1533-position model. The record is from RNAcentral.
GGGUGAGUAACGCGUGGAUAAUCUACCCCUCAGUUGGGAAUAACUCAUCGAAAGGUGGGCUAAUACCGAAUAAUACUGCAUGACUUCUGUUGUGUAGUCAAAGAUGGCCUCUGCUUGCAAGCUAUCGCUGAAGGAUGAGUCCGCGUACCAUUAGCUAGUUGGUAGGGUAAUGGCCUACCAAGGCAACGAUGGUUAGCUGGUCUGAGAGGAUGAUCAGCCACACUGGAACUGAGACACGGUCCAGACUCCUACGGGAGGCAGCAGUGAGGAAUAUUGCGCAAUGGGGGCAACCCUGACGCAGCAACGCCGCGUGAGUGAGGAAGGUUUUCGGACCGUAAAGCUCUGUCGAGCGGGAAGAAAUGCAUAGUGGCUAAUAUCCAUUAUGCUUGACGGUACCGCUAAAGGAAGCACCGGCUAACUCCGUGCCAGCAGCCGCGGUAAUACGGGGGGUGCUAGCGUUGUUCGGAAUCAUUGGGCGUAAAGAGCGUGUAGGCGGCUGGAUAAGUCAGAUGUGAAAGCCCUGGGCUUAACCCAGGAAGUGCAUUUGAAACUGUUCAGCUUGAGUAAGGGAGAGGAAAGUGGAAUUCCUGGUGUAGAGGUGAAAUUCGUAGAUAUCAGGAGGAACACCGGUGGCGAAGGCGACUUUCUGGCCCUAUACUGACGCUGAGACGCGAGAGCGUGGGUAGCAAACAGGAUUAGAUACCCUGGUAGUCCACGCCGUAAACGAUGUUCACUAGGUGUUGGGGGUAUUGACCCUCUCAGUGCCGCAGCUAACGCA